GCUAGGCCUUUAACAUUGAUAGUAAAAAUACGCUACUAUCCGCCAGAGAACUACAAGUGAAAAACUUUAAACUCAAAGGAUUUGGCGGUGUCCCAUACCUGCCUAGAGGAGCCUGUCCUAUAAUCGAUACCCCCCGUUCCACCCAACCUCAACUAGCACUUCCAGUCUAUAUACCGCCGUCGACAGUCUACCCCAUGAGGGCCCAACAGUAGACACAACAAUUUCCCACUAACACGUCAGGUCAAGGUGUAGCAUACGUUGAGGAAGAGAUUGGCUACAUUUUUUAUGAUAAAAAAUACGAAAUGCAAUAUGAAACCCCGCAUAAAGGUGAAUUUAGUAGUAAGAUAAACAAGAGUGUUUGUCUUAAUUAUGCUCUG
RNAcentral lists this ribosomal RNA (377 nucleotides) under Eremias argus. Its description in RNAcentral is "partial 12S ribosomal RNA". It matches the Rfam family "Bacterial small subunit ribosomal RNA", at positions 794 to 1376 of the family's 1533-position model. The record is from RNAcentral. Lineage: Eukaryota; Metazoa; Chordata; Lepidosauria; Squamata; Lacertidae.